CGUAUGGUGCAAGCGUUAUCCGGAUUUACUGGGUGUAAGGGAGCGCAGGCGGUGCGGCAAGUCUGAUGUGAAAGCCCGGGGCUCAACCCCGGUACUGCAUUGGAAACUAGUCGUACUAGAGUGUCGGAGGGUAAGGCGGAAUUCCUAGUGUAGCGGUGAAAUAGCGUAGAUAUUAGGAGGAACACCAGUGGCGAAGGCGGCUUACUGGACGAUAACUGACGCUGAGGCUCGAAAGCGUGGGGAGCAAACAGGAUU
Molecule: ribosomal RNA, 255 nt
Filed under: uncultured bacterium
Lineage: Bacteria
Description: partial 16S ribosomal RNA
Rfam family: Bacterial small subunit ribosomal RNA
Source: RNAcentral